AUAAUUGAUACUUAAGAUUUUGUUGUGUGUUUUUGGUAGGAAAAAAAAAAGAAAACAAAAGAAAAGAUAAGAAAGCAGCAACUACAACAGAUAAAGAAAAGAAAGGAGUUACGUGAAAACCAAAGAUAUCCCAAAAUCUCGUCAAGGCUCAUCUUCAACAAUAUCAUCCGAAGUUCAAGCAAAUAGAAGAUGAAUUUCUAUAUUAAAUUUUAUCCUUCCAACCCAGAAAAUCAAUGGAGGCCGUUGUUUUUGGCUAUAAAAAACCCCAAAACAAUCAUCUCAAAAACACGCACAACUACAACUAAAAAUCUGAGAAAUUAAGAGUGAAGGUUUCGAUCGGGUCCCUGAAUUGGAGCAAUUGGAAGAGAAGACAACCAUUGAAGGAAGCUUAGUCUCAAUUUCAAGGUCGAGCAAGAACGACGGUGGAUCGCGGGGUCAAAGCCAAGUAUCAUACGGGUUGAUUAGCUCAUGUGAAGAGAAAGGAGGGCAGAUUCGAAAUAGUAGUAAGGAGCGGGCACUCCAAUAGAGGUGCAUUCGCGCUCCAAUACUGAACAUGCAGCAGAAUCACAAGCCAGAUUAGGAGCGGGCAAUCCUCAAGAGUCGCACGCCCGUUCUUGAUUGAGCUAGCUUAAAAUAGAAUCAACAGCAAAGAGCAGGAGCGGGCGCUCCAAGUUGAGUGCGUGCCUGCUCUUGAUUGUUCAAGCAGCUAAGCAGAUUCACCAUUAUAAUUUGGAGCGGACGCUCCGGGUAGAGUGCAUGCCUGCUCCAUACUGCCAAAGGUAACGGGAUCUUUAACAAGGCUAGGAGUGGUUGCUUCAAACAAUCUGGAUGCGCGCUCCUAGAAGAAAAGAAACAAGACAAAUUCUCCAGCCAAGUUUUGAAGUAGGCGCUCCAAGUAAGCUAGACGCCCGCUCCUUUCUGGGUUUAGAAUCAGUAGCAAAUGCAUGAAUAGGAGCGGGCGCUCCUCUAAGCCUGCAUGCCCGCUCUGUCAAUAAGCCAUAGUUAAAUUCUAAUUUGGAGCGGUCGCUCCUGAGGCACUACAUGCCCGCUUCAGACUCCUUCAAACAAGGCAGUAACUGUAGUUGCAUGUGGAGCGGGCGCUCCUGGUGGAGUGCACGCCCGCUCCUAUCCUCUCAUCAACUCUCGGAAACAAAAGAAGGGGAUUUUGAAAUAAUCAGAAGCUCAAAAGUUGGUUAGGAGCGGGCGCUCCAGUUACACAGCACGCCCGCUCCUGGGUUUGAAAACAGAAUCAGUUUUGGAGUUCAGAUUUGGAGUGGGAGCUUGGAUACCACUGCACACUCGCUCCAGUCUUCGAAGAGGAUUCAGUGAGAAUUUUAAACGAUUGGAGCGGGCACUCCACUCCGCCUGCCUGCACGCCCGCUCCAACCCAAUCCGGGUAGAUUUUCGAGAUUCCCUUUUAAUCUCUUUUCACCCUCUUUCAUCCUCCACCUCUCAUUUUACCCAUAUUCAUCUUCUCUUUCCUCUUUUCCCAUAUCUUUCUCACACUAAAACCCUUAUUCCCUCUACCUUCUCACUUCAAAAACAUCAUCAAUCCUUCAUAUUUUUCACUCAAAAUUCACAAAUCCGGAAUCUCCAUCCAAUUCUCUCUCUAAAAAUCACAAAUUUUCACAAUUUUGAACAAGAAUCUGAAGACCCACUAACUCUCCAUAGCAAGAACAGUUAUAAAUUGGUGAAAUCUUGAGGAAGGAGGGGCAAUUUGAGAAGUCAUGGAGGAAUUUAGAGUAUUUUCAUACUCUAGUUGGUAUAAUCUUCAUCUCUAUUUCACUUCCCCUCUUGAACCUUAGGGUUUUUCUUCAAUUUUCUUAACUUUGUUUAUUUCAUAUGAAUUGUAUAGUUAAUUGCAUGAUUAGUUGAAAUUAAACAAAUAUUAUUGCUUAUUCAGAAUUUUUGGUGAAAAAUUGUGAAUGAUAUUUGGAGUAGUUAAUGUAUGAUUGAAAAUUUCAUAAGCUUGAUGAAUUUGUGAAUUUUAAUUGUGUGUAAUUGUGUGUUGGAAAUCUUUGCUGGUUGUGUUGUUAUAUAUCUUGAUUGAUUGAAACAGGUACUUGGAUUAAUUUGGGGGUUUAAAGUUAAGGAGGUUGUUGUGUAGUGAUUUUGGUAAUUGUGGGUGUGGUGUGGUGUAAUUGAGUGAAACCCCUUUUCCUUUCUCUAGUCAAAAUGGUUUUGAGACUACUUAGAAGAGGUGGAGGAAAGAAAAGAAAGACUCAAGAUGCCGGAAUCCGAAUAAAUGAAAACUAAUCCAAUGAGGGCCAAACACAAAACCAAAACACCGCUUCACCAACUAUUAGAAUCCAAGAAAAAUUAAAAAAAAAAUACCAUACCAAAUUUUCAAAACGAAAAAUCUUUCCAACAAGAUUCUACGACCAAAAGACAUGCCAGCUAUUAGGGGUCGAUGAAGGAAUUCGACGUGUGGCCGACAAUUUCGGAUGGUUAAAUUUCCUUAAAAAAAGGGAAUUAACCUACGAGUCGAUCACUCUAGAAUUCCUUUCAUCCAUUUCCAUGCGCCUGAUUAAUGGUGAAGGAGAGUCUCUUGAGUGUGAGAUUAAUCUUUGAAUGGCCGACCUUCAACCAAAUCUACGAUCCUGAUAGUUUCUACCUCUCUAGUUACGAGGAACAAGUUUGGUGGAACACUAUAGAGGGGUACCCCAACUUUAUCACCUGGUCUAGUCAUUCUAGCCACAUCAUCCACCCCGUACUCCGUAUAUUCAUGAGAAUUAUGGGGUACGCUUGCUUUUCGAAGCAAGACCUUGGGAUGCUAACUAAAGAGGAGAUAAAAUGCCUCUUCGUAGCUUCUCGAUUUUAGGGGGAUCUCAAGGGUAAUGUUAAUAUGGGAUAUUUGUUUAUACAGAGGUGUUUGGAAAUAAAGAGGAGUACGGAUUUGAGGGGGGAGAUAAAGUGUGGGGGUAUGAUCACGAUUAUUGCCAAGGCAUUGGGGUUUACCGACUACCUUGAACAAUUGACCCCAGUAAACGGUUCCAAUGUCCUUGACAUUCAAGGACUUUCUUCAAUGCAUAUGCUUGUUGAAAUCAAAUGUCAUGUGACCCAAUACUCUUGGUUGGUCAAGAGUAAACACCGUUGCAUGCUUCCCAAUGCGGCGGUGAUGAACACCGUGGGGAACACUUGGCAAGUUCCAAUUGAGCCACUCCCCGCAGGUGUUCCCGACCUUGACCAACCAUCCCAACCACGCCGCCAUAGCAUUUCUACCAUUCCUAGAUUUAUGGGUGGCCCCUCCUCCUCUUCUUCUUCCUUCGACUUAGAAUCGGCUUUCAACAACUUAACUUAACCAACUAACGAAUUUUACAAGAAAACGAAUACCAAAGCUACGUUCAAGAGAUGUCUUAUCAAAACCAAGUUGAGAGGGGAGACUUUCUUCCCUAUGUCAACUAUCCAAACCGCCCCGUUCAAGAAGGGCCGGUCCGGGGUGGAACAACAACCAACCCACCUACUCCUAUUGGCAAGGCCCUCGUAGCUCCAUUUCGGAGCUACGAUUCUAUCCUCCCUAUGAUUAUACACAACCUGGGGGUUGUGACUCUAGGGGGACCCUUCUUAUAAUCACGUCCCCGAGACUUGUGGUAAUAUGACUCCCGAGGAGAUCGAUAACCACCCCUUAAGGGGAUACUUUGGGUUCCCACCCGGGUAUGAUGGUGGUUGGGGCGUGAGUAGUGCACCGGAUUUCGGUCACUACCGGGAUUAGGGGUGUUCAGAUCCGGGUACUCGCUUUUUCGGGUACCCGGAUCUUCCGGUAAUAUAAAGCUCGGCCCAUGUCCCAACGCUGGAAAAUCGAGUACCCGAAUUUACCGGGUCGAGUUAGCAAAUACCCGGUUAAAAUUUUAUUUUUGGAGUAAUUAGGCAUAGAAAAUUAAAAAGCAAUUCAGUAACUCCAACUCCAAUUAAUAUAAUACAAUCCAAAUUUCUAAGUUAAAGUUUCGUAUAAUCAUUACUCGUACCGUGUAACAUUCAAAUCCCAUAUCAAGGUCACAAAAAGACCUCAAUUAUUCAUUAUACAAAUUGAACUAUAAAACCAAAAAUCAAUUAUGACAUGAAAUCAAACACCUCCACUCGCACAAAUAGCUUCUUUCAUCCCUCAUCAAGCCACCACAAAAUCAACCUCCAACUCAAACGAACACACUUCGACCUGUGAGAAGAAAUUGCAAUUGAUGAAUGGUGAGGUGUCGAUUGUUGCGAUGUUGUCAUUGCUUGUUACUUGCAUGCAUUGGAGUGAAGAUGUAGAGAAAAUUAUAGAUCAAGCUGUGAGAAGAGAGUGGAGUGGUGGUCUCGUAGAUGGGUGAAUUGAAAUUCAGAAGAACAAGGAGAAUUGAAAUUCUGAAGAACAAAGACAAUUAAAAGAUAAAAAUUGAAAAAAAAGGAGAGAGAAAGAGAUAAGGAAUUGAGGAUGAAUGUCGGCUACCAUAGAGGAGAGAGAAUAUGGUGGGUGGUUGGAAAUAAAAACCUUAACCCUUAAAAACUGAUUUAUCGGGUCAGCGGGUACCCGCCACCCUCACAGGUCGGCCAAUGACCCGACCCAAAAACAUGCUGAUUUUCUUGAGUCGGGUACCCGACCUGCUAAUUUCAAAUAAAUAAAAAAAAAUACCCGGUUAAAUCAAUCGGGUCAUCAGGUCAAUCAGGUCGGGUAUUUUUGAACACCCCUAACUGGGACCGCCCCAACUAUGAUCUUCCUCCAUAUGUUGAUCAUCCCUCUUAUACCGGCGAUGUAGAUCCAAACUACAACUAUUUGCCAUUGCCGCCAAGAGAGGAUGAUGAGGGUGAUAUGUAGACAUUUGUAGUUGUCGUUCCCUUUCUUCCUUCCCGUCAUUUGUAACACCGAGGCCGGUGUCGAGUUCUUACUUGGGGGGGAGAUGUUUCCCAUUGUGUACAAUUUAGUAUGGGAACGGUAAACAAAUGUCUAGCUUGGGGGGGGGUCUUGAGGUCUUAGGUAUUUGUGCAUAGGGGUGGUUUUUGGUUUUGAUAGUAUGUGUGCUUAUUUGUGACGCUAUUUUUGUGCAUAUAUUGAGAAGUUUGAGUUUAGAUGUGGAUUGUUUGGCAUGUGAGGCUUAGUUUAGCCUUUGACACUUGUGGUUGGUUUCAUAUUGUAAUAUGUUCUAGAUUGCUUGCCUACUUUAGGCUGGUCGUUGUUCUUUCAUGAUUAUAUGACAUGUCUAGGCUAGAAUGAUUGCAUGUUGAUGUGUUUACCUUCUCUUUUAUAUGUGUGCAUUAGAGAGUCCCUAUUCUAUGUUAGCUUUGGUCUACUUUGAGGUUGGUUAUCUUGAUGGCUGAAUGCAUGGCAUGGUUGGUUUGCCUUUGGUCUCUCUUUGAUGAUGAUAUCUAUGAUGAUGAUGGUUGUGAUGAUUAAUGAGUUGGUGAUUCUUUUCCCUAAUAAUCCAAAACCCUAAUAUCCAAAUCUUUUUUUCUAUAUCCCCUUCGCUUAUCCCUAAUAUCCAAAUUUCUUCUUUCUUCCCCCAUCUUAUCCCUAAUAUCCAAAUUAUUUCAUUAGUUUACUCCCCCCCCACCCCACCCCUUAAAAAAAAUGAAAAAUGAAUUAUCUUUUUGCUUUAGAUUGGUCCUGAAUGAUGAUAUUGGAUUUCUUGUGGUGGAUAUUUGCUUUCUUUUGGUAAUAAAAUUUCGAGCAUGGUUUAGAUGCCCUUGGUUGAACAUAGAACCGGCUAGUUUAGGCUAGUGUGAGAAUAACCUUACCGAAUUUACGAUACCUAAAGACUAGGAUUGUGGUAAGAAGGUGUCGCCUAUAUCGAAAGGAUUUGAACCCUGAAAGGUAGUAAUUGAUCCUAUAUUGUUCCCAAAAAGUGAGGUUUUAAUAUUUUUCAAGCCUCCUACAUUUUGAAUGAGUGGCAAGGAUCCUCUUUGAUUUAGUACCUAUAUCGAGAACUAGAGUCCCAACUCCCAAGAUCGCGGCCUAAACUACACUUAGUGUUGUUGAAGGUUGUUAUGUAUUGUUUAUUCACAAAAAGUUAAGGCAUAUCGUCCUUGUUUCCUUAGUUCAUGCGUUAGUUUAUUGUAAUUAGUAGUUUGUAAUGUAAAUUUUCAAGUUUGAAAAAAAAAAGAAGUGAUGAAUAGCCACCACCCUAGCAAUUAAACAAGCUUGGGGGUGCGUUUUUGUUUCGAGUUUAUUCAUGGUUUGUGAUUUGGGUCAAAGUUAAAAGCCUCCUUAGGUUUGCUCUUAACGUUGUACAUCUUGGCUUGACUUUAAAUGCAAAUACUUCUAGUUUACCCUAUGCCUUAACUUUGUGUCGUAAUCCUCAAGUUGUGUAAUGUUAGUAAGAGUAGUUGAAGCCAUUGCCGGUGGAGGGAGUUGGUUCACACGCAUAUGGAAAAGGUACUUAUCAUUGAGAUGUCGAGUGUUCUAAAACCUUCUUUUGUCUAUUUUUCUUCCUGCUCCUUCAAGGAGUCAUGAGACACUACCAUUAGGGGGAAUUUGAACUUUGUGUUGGGGACGUGGUAAGAUUGGUUGAAUGGACCAAAGUUGAGUACAUUAGGAAAGGUUAGCUAGGCUUUGGCUAGUCAUGACCGUGGUGGCGUGGUUGAUCUUAGGCAUAUACCUCAUGCUCGAGUUUUAUUGCUUAAGGAUUCUUUUAUCUUUACAUGUGCUUUUCUUUGAACGGACUAAUCUAUCAAUUUCUUUUGCGCCAAGUGAAUUGCUUGGGGACAAACAAUUGGCUAGCUUGGGGGAAUUUGAUAAGUGUUUUAUUUGUCCACUUAUCACGACAUUUUUAAAACAAUCUUGUACUCUUUCUCCCACUUCAAUCCCUUUGGUAUAUAAUCGUAGUCUUUGUUGUUCCUGUACCUCUCUGUGUGUGUUCAUGCUUGUAGGUGUAAGAGAAGACUUGACAAACUUACUAAGGCAUUGAAGAACUUUAUUGAAGCAAAGCAUAAGAAGAGCGGGCAUGUAACCACUGAGGAGAGGGCGCUCCUCCAUCUUGCUGAGUUCCUGCCAUUCAAGGAACUCAGGGAGGAAUGGGCGUGCACCACAGGAGGAGCGGGCGCUCCUCCCCGAGCUGCCACAAACUGACUUCCAUCUGCAUUAGAAGGAGCGGGGCGCAACCUUCAAGGAGCGGGCGCUCCUAAUCAAGCUCCAACAAUUUGCCUUCCCUAAUGCAGUGAGGAGCGGGCGCGCAGGAAGACCAGGAGCGGGCGCUCCAAGCAUAGGAGCGGGCGCUCCUCACUGUAAAUUCGAUUUUCUUGACGGAUUUUCCUAUGUAAUUUUUGGGGCAUAAAUACCACCCUUGGCUUCAUUUAUACGAACCUUCUUGUCUCCUAACUCCCUUAGAUUCACUCUUAUAGUUAGUGUAUAGUUUUUCUCUCCCUUAGUUUAGAUUUCCAAAAACUCAAUCAUUUGUAAGAAUUAAUUGAAGUUUGCUCUAUCAAUUUCAACAAUUGUUCUCAA
Chenopodium quinoa (quinoa) is the source of this 7414-nucleotide long non-coding RNA. RefSeq lists it as uncharacterized. The record is from RefSeq and is a predicted model, not a curated record. The transcript has 2 exons. NCBI's taxonomy places the organism in Eukaryota, Viridiplantae, Streptophyta, Magnoliopsida, Caryophyllales, Amaranthaceae.